GACGAACGCUGGCGGCGUGCUUAACACAUGCAAGUCGAACGGUGAAGCACCUUCCUUUUGGUGGGUGUGGAUGAGUGGCGAACGGGUGAGUAACACGUGAGUAACCUGCCCCCUUCUUCUGGAUAACCGCAUGAAAGUGUGGCUAAUACGGGAUAUUCUGGGUCUGUCGCAUGGCGGGCCUGGGAAAGAUAUUGUUUCGGUGGGGGAUGGGCUCGCGGUCUAUCAGCUUGUUGGUGGGGUGAUGGCCUACCAAGGCGGUGACGGGUAGCCGGCCUGAGAGGGUGGACGGUCACACUGGGACGGAGACACGGCCAAGACUCCUACGGGAGGCAGCAGGGGGGAAUAUUGCACAAUGGGCGAAAGCCUGAUGCAGCGACGCCGCGUGAGGGAUGGAGGCCUUCGGGUUGUAAACCUCUUUCGCCAGUGAAGCAGGCCUGUCCAUUUUGUGGGUGGGUUGACGGUAGCUGGAUAAGAAGCGCCGGCUAACUACGUG
Molecule: ribosomal RNA, 493 nt
Filed under: uncultured bacterium
Lineage: Bacteria
Description: partial 16S ribosomal RNA
Rfam family: Bacterial small subunit ribosomal RNA
Source: RNAcentral